This is a small nucleolar RNA of Solea solea (common sole), 68 nucleotides long. RefSeq annotates it as small nucleolar RNA SNORD50. The record is from RefSeq and is a predicted model, not a curated record. The transcript has a single exon. NCBI's taxonomy places the organism in Eukaryota, Metazoa, Chordata, Actinopteri, Pleuronectiformes, Soleidae.
UAACAGUGAUGAGCCUUUAUCCCAAAACUGAUCUACUGAUGAGACAGAACGGAUCUGAUUGCUGAGUU